Molecule: ribosomal RNA, 301 nt
Filed under: uncultured bacterium
Lineage: Bacteria
Description: partial 16S ribosomal RNA
Rfam family: Bacterial small subunit ribosomal RNA
Source: RNAcentral
CAGCAGCCGCGGUAAUACGUAGGUGGCAAGCGUUGUCCGGAAUUAUUGGGCGUAAAGGGCUCGCAGGCGGUUUCUUAAGUCUGAUGUGAAAGCCCCCGGCUCAACCGGGGAGGGUCAUUGGAAACUGGGAAACUUGAGUGCAGAAGAGGAGAGUGGAAUUCCACGUGUAGCGGUGAAAUGCAUAGAGAUGUGGAGGAACACCAGUGGCGAAGGCGGCUCUCUGGUCUGUAACUGACGCUGAGGAGCGAAAGCGUGGGGAGCGAACAGGAUUAGAUACCCGCGUAGUCCCUGUCUCUUAUAU